Molecule: long non-coding RNA, 2252 nt
Organism: Neocloeon triangulifer
Lineage: Eukaryota; Metazoa; Arthropoda; Insecta; Ephemeroptera; Baetidae
Exons: 7
Source: RefSeq, a predicted model, not a curated record
CUGCACAGUCAAGUCGUCUUGGUAUUGUCUCUAGUGCGUCUGUCUCCCUUCGGCGUCUGCUCGUCCAUCGUUUUACGGAAUGGGCUCCGAACAAAGCAAAGAAACUGACGGCGACGAAAAACCAGUUGCCCCUGAUCAAAAUGGACCAACUGAUCAUGAUCAUGAUGCUGUUGUCUCACCACAGCAGUUUAGCAGCGGCCAAAUUGCCGGCUCGGCUCAUGCAACUUUGGAGCUUGCGCGCGGCGGCCCGCUGGAAAAUGCGUCAGCGAACAAAAAAUGUCAGGCAGCUAUUUCUACCUGCCACAUCUUGAGUUGGCCACUCCUGAAAGUGGUGUGAACCAGUACCCUGUGCACCCGAGGAGCGGAGGAAUUGCAUGCAGCACGGUUGAUAAAUCAAAGUAAGCGGUAUAGGAGGUGCUUAAGGUGCUCCCUGCCAGCACUCUGCUCGUGCUGGAGGAUUCCCUGCUCUCAGAAGCACGCAAGCUCUGCUUGAGCGCAGCAGCUGCAUUCACCAAAUUACCCUACCAGCAGUCAGGGAGAGCUGGCUGCUUUCAACUGGCGUUACGGAGGCGCCGCGGUGUAUGACGACAGAUCUGAGCCGUCAAUGGAGUUAGGACAGAACCAGCAGACCACCAGCAGCAUGCCUGGUACGAUGGUGCCAAACCAGCAGAAUUACAGCAACACAUCAGCUGCCGACCAUGGCCACACAGGGAUCCAUUGAAGAUGCCGUUUUUUCCAGCAUGCAAAAAUUUUUCGCCAGUAUUCACAAUCAGGCCUCUGAGAAAGAAGCUCCUGCUUUGCCUGGCCUCAAAUCUGCUGAGAGCAACACAAAAAAGAAGGAAAAAGAGUUGGAAGAUCUGCUUUCACAUUCAAUUUUUAAGACUGACACCUCUCCCAACACCUCUGCACAACAGUCAACAAAGAGGAAAGCCUACAAAGCAUUCGCCUCUGGAUGCUACAAGAAGUUCAAGCAGAUGAAUGCCGACGGCAAAAAAUCCAUUACCAAGAAAAAAGUUGGAGAACUUUGGGCCAAUCUGACGGAAGAGCAACAGUUGGCGUGGGGUGUCGAUGGUAGUAGCGAGGAGGAAGACUAGAGCUGCUAAUGGAGGAGGAAGAGCAGCGGCCAGCACUCUUUCAGGUACUUUGGAAACAGGGUGGCAAACGAACUUUCCUCCAACAGUCUGGCCUUCAUUUCUCCUGCCUUGAACUCGGGCAGUUUCAAACUCCACGCAUUGUCCACCGGCUCCGUCGAGGUCGGCAACUUGCUCUGCUCUUCCUCCUCCAUUAUUUGUAUGCUGUGUUGAAUGUUAAACUUAAUUGAUGAGGACUUAAUUUUGAGUGUCUGGCGCUUGCCUAUAUUGAAAAAUGUUGAUGGAAAAUUACUAAUACUAAUGGACAUUAAAAUUAAACUUAAUUAUGUUGAAUCAUAUGAAAGUGAAGAAAAACUAAUAUUUUUUUGGGUAAAAAAAAUUUUCCAAAUUUAAAAUAAUUAAAAAAAAAAUACCUUUGUUAAUAUUUAGGAUGAAAAAAUUUGAUUUUGAACUUUUAUAAAGAUGUAAAUUUAAUUUUCACGGCCAAAAUUACUUUUUUUGCCGUAAGUUGAUGUUGAGUAUUGCGAAAAGGUCUGUAUCUCGGUAACUAAUAGUCCGAAUUUGACAAAUUGAUAAUGAAAAUGACCGCAAAAAUAUUUUUUUUCUAAUAAAUGAUUUGUUUGAAAUUUAAGAAUUUUAUUGGUUUCCAAAAUACCAGAUUUAAAAAACACAUUUUCAAAAUAAUUAAAAAAUUCAAGCGACACGCUGUUAAUCGGUUUUUAAUCCAAGAAAACAAAAAUUGACUUUAUUUUGAGCAAUUUCAUAGAAUUUUUUUUUUAUUUGAUCCAGCCGUUGCUGAGAAACAGGCCUUGAAAGAAACCCUUGAAUUGAACUUCAUAUAAUAUAAUUCAAAAUAUUUUUGCUCUUGAAAAUGCAUGUUAAAUGAAAAAAAAUGUGUCCUGUGAACAAAAUUUCAAACAUUUUAAAUUAGUUUCAUCAUAAUUCUGAUUAUUUCUAAAUAUAUCCACAUACAGUGCUAAUUGAUACCUUGGCUUGCAGAGCUGCAUUAAAUUAACGACAAAAUUAAGUAUUUUUUUCACAGGAAUAUAUAUUCAUGUCUUAUUUUCUUGGGUUUAAAUAGCUCAUCAGAAGUCCAUUUUUACGUUGAGAUUCUACCCUGAUUGAUAUGUUAUAAGAAAUGAAUAAAAAGUUUACAAAAUA